CAAAAGCUUUCACCUUCAAGAAUUCACACGAUCUCAUUUUUUAAGGCAUGUUGAUGUACUAAUUUCUGCUAUAAUACUUCUUAGCUUGCUUAUUAUUAUUGACCACUUUGAACACAGUCUAAAGCAUCUUUCCUCUACCUGGUGCUUUCCAGAUGUUUUGGAGUGCAGUUCCCAUCAGCACUAGCUCCACAAGCACUACCUUAUUCCAACUCUUUACACCAAACCUAUCAUGUCGGUGAGUAUGCUGUAAUCUUACAAGCAUAUGGGAGUAAGGCCUGUUGACCACAGAGGGACUUACUUCUCAGCAAACAUGCAUAUAGCAUUGUUCGGUAUAAUUAUCAACGUUGUGGUGUAGGCGAGUGGGGAAGCUGAUGCAGUGUGUCUUGUCUAAAGAAGCCUGGUAAUUUCAUUGCAAAAGGGACACAUGGAUCAGGGACAUCCUGGUUAACACUGCAGUUUCUCAACCACUGUAGUACUCUACUAAUAGAAAGGUUAGUGGAAGGUAGGUUUUUGCAUAUGAAGCACUGUGUUGGGAUAAUGCAAAACCUGAAAGAGUGGGAAAAGAUGGUCAGUAAGGGAAUUAUGAGUAUUGAGUUCCAGGGUGGAACAACAGUGGAGUGAGUGAAUGUAAGAACUGUUUUAACAAUGGUGUCAUGUGUGGGACGCGGGUAGCGCUGUGGGUUAAACCACAGAGCCUAGGACUUGCCGAUCAGAAGGUCGGCGGUUCGAAUCCCCGCGACGGGGUGAGCUCUCGUUGCUCGGUCCCUGCUCCUGCCAACCUAGCAGUUUGAAAGCACAUCAAAGUGCAAGUAGAUAAAUAGGUACUGCUCUGGUGGGAAGGUAAACAGCAUUUCCAUGCGCUGCUCUGGUUUGCCAGAAGCGGCUUAGUCAUGCUGGCCACAUGACCUGGAAGCUGUACACCGGCUCCCUCGGCCAAUAAAGCGAGAUGAGCGCCGCAACCCCAGAAUCGGUCACGACUGGCCCCUAACACCUUUACCAUGUGUUCUAGGCUGGAAACACCCACCAGAAUUCUCUCUGGGCAGUUGGAAACCUUGGAAAGGUUGGGUUAUUGGUGGUAUGGGAGAGCUUUGUGUAUGUACAGUCUAUACAUUUAUGUACGCAUGUAAAAAUAAGGUGCUGGUACUCAUAUAUUAAUAAAUCCUCCCCGCUACCAUUCAUCACACACACCACAAAUACAACUCGCCCUCUCUUGAACAAAUCACCUACAUACCUCUCUCAGUUUUUGCCUCUUACUUCCCCUACAAAUUGAGCGACUCCUUCAGAAAAUUUCCUCCAUUUCCACCUGACUGGCGGGCAACAGCAGGCUGAGUUUGCUGGAAAUACCUCACUGGUCCUUCCUUCCCUCCCCAACCUUUUUUAAUUUUACACAAGCCCUAGCACAGGGUGAAGAAGUUGCCUGCUGCUGGAUGGUGAGCAUGUGGGGAUAUCUUGCCACUUGUGUUUAAUAAGUGUGGAGUGGAGCUUUCAGAAAGAGUUUUGAAUCCAUGCAUUAGAAUAGUAUUAGAAUAUCAGAGCAAUGCCAUGGCAGCAACUGCUGGCAGAGAAGAUCUCUUCACUGAUAUCUUACUUCCAACACAUCAAAAUUUUCCAGUUCAUGUCCAUGUAAAAAACUAUUUCUACAGAAGCGAGAAUAUGGUAGCAACGAAACCGUCAGCACAUUAUAGUAAGAUUUGAAAGUGUUUCCAUGUCAUGAACUGCUUGCAGCUGGGCUGCUUGAGAGAGCAUGGGUCCGAUUGUCCCAGUUUGGAGGACACAUCCCCCCAAAGCAACUGGUUUGAUACCCUUUCACAAAAUGGUCUACAUUUUUGCAAAGCAGUUUCACCUCAUGUAAUGUGUUUUUCAUUGUUAUUUUCAUACAUGCAUUUCUAUGCACACUUUACCCUAAUAUAUGCCUUUUUGUACACAUUGCCUGGCUGGAGAAGUGCAUUGCAAAAUUAAAGUAAGUGCACGUUUCAGAGGAAGGCUACAUAUUGUUUCAGAAAGCGCAGGUUAGGUAGCUUCAAUUUUUAAUGUGAAUUGAAUCAAAUGUCUGUCCCAUCUGUACCUUUUGCAGCAUAAACUACCUUUCUAGUUUAAAGUCAUAUGUGUGAGAGCUGACAGCAGGACCGUAUGACUGGCCUCUAAAAUGUAUGGAAAUAUUUCUCUGGAACCAAAGCACCAGCUGCCCUCAGCCCAAAAUGCCCUGUCUCUCAUUUCCUAUAAACAUGUGAGAGGGAUUUCGUUUACUGAAGCUGGCCAGCAGCCCACAAACACUGCAAUAUUAUCUUCAGGAACCUUUCCUUUGCCGCCUAAUAAAUCCUUCACAGAUUUCUUCCAUUUGCCUGGCAAGUUAGAGUUCACAUCUUUGGUUUGUGAGGGUUUCUGGCCCUUCCCUAAUUUCAGGAAAUCUGGUUCUCUAGUAGAUUUCUCAACACAUCUGUUCAUCUUCUGGGUGCAUUUCAUGGGGGUGAACUAAUUUUCUUUCUUUCUUUCUUUCUUUCUUUCUUUCUUUCUUUCUUUCUUUCUUUCUGUGUUUUAUUUCAUUCGAACACUUCCCCUGAAACUGGCAAGUCAUUAAGAAUUUAUAUCUUGUAUUGUGAGGAAUCGACAAGUGGAUUUAUGGAGGUUUGCUGGUGAGAGAGAUUUUGAAAAGGAACAUCACAUAAAAUUACCUGUGUUCACUCAGAAGAUUUAAUAAUCCUCAUUAGGAAGUGAGAAAACUGCAGGAGGCCUUUGUAAACUUCACCAAAGGAAUUCUCUUUGCUGAGUCGUCAUUCAUAGGCCUAUCCAACAAGGCAUACAUGGGCAAGAGGCAGAUCAUGACAGGCCCUGGCCUAGGCUGCAAACAGAGGGACCAUCUCUAGGGGAUCAAAAGAUCAGACAUAUGGCAGGAAGUGUCAGUGGGAGGGGGAGUGAAGAAGGCCCCACUCUCACCAGAACUUCUAUUUUGCAUGGAGAACCCAAGAAGCUGAAAACUAAUUUUAGAAAAUCUUCAGUUUAUACACUCUUCCUCUUCCAGAUAAAGGCAGUGCUGGUAUCAGCACUUGUAUUCUUGGGUCGAUCCUGGGGAAUAAUGGUGUAAUCCUAACCCUGGCUACUAACAAACAGGUGGGGUAUAACGAAGGUGGUGGUGGGUGGAGAAGCAAAUUCCUAUUGUAGCUUGGAAUUGGCAAAGUGAUCAGGCCCAAAUUGGGCCCAGUGCCAUUACAUGAUGACAGCAAGGGUGCCUUGGGAACCGAUGGAUCUCCGCUGGCUGAGAAGAAUAACACGAUGAUGAUGAUGAUAAUUUAUGUAUUUAUUUAUACACCGCCCAUCUGGCUGGGUUUGCCCAACCACUCUGGGUGGCUUCCAACUGAAUAUUAAAAACAAUACAACAUCAGACAUUAAAAACUUCCCUAAACAGGGCCGCCUUCAGUUGUCUUCUAAAAGUAAAAUAGUUGUUUAUUGCCUUGACAUCUGCUGGGAGGGCAUUCCACAGGGCAGGUGCCACUACCGAGAAGGCCCUCUGCCUGUUUCCCUGCAACCUCAAUCCUCGCAGUGAGGAAACCGCCAGCAGGCCCUCGGCGCUGGACCUCAGUGACCGGGCUGGAUGAUGGGGGUGGAGACGUUCUUUCAGGUAUACAGGACUGAGGCCGUUUAGGGCUUUAAAGGUCAGCACCAAGACUUUGAAUUGUGCUCGGAAAUGUACUGGGAGCCAAAGAAGAUCUUUCAGAACCAGUGUUAUAUGGUCUUGGUGGCCACUCCCCGUCACCAGUCUAGCUGCCGCAUUCUGGAUUAAUUGCAGUUUCCGAGUCACCUUCAAAGGUAGCCCCACAUAGAGCGCAUUGCAGUAGUCCAAACAGGAGAUAACUAGAGCAUGCACCACUCUGGCAAGACAGUCUGUGGUCAGGUAAGGUCUCAGCCUGCAUACCAGAUGGAGCUGGUAAACAGCUGCCCUGGACACAGAAUUAACCUGUGCCUCCAAGGACAGCUGUGAGUCCAAAAUGACUCCCAGGCUGCGCACCUGGUCCUUCAGGAGCACAGUUAUCCCAUUCAGGAUCAGGGAGUCCUCCACACCAGCCUGCCCCCUAUCCCCCAAGAACAGUGCUUCUGUCUUGUCAGGAUUCAACCUCAAUCCAUUAGCUGCCAUCCAUCCUCCAACCGCCUCCAGACACACAGGACCUUCACCGCCUUCACUGGUUCUGAUUUAAAAGAGAGGUAGAGCUGGGUAUCAUCCGCAUAUUGAUGAGCACCCAACCCAAACCCCCUGUUGAUCUCUCCCAGUGGCUUCGUGUAGAUGGGGGAGAGGAUGGAACCCUGAGGCACCCUAUAAAUAAGAGCCCAGGGGUCUGAACACUCAUCCCCCCCCCACUUUCUGGACACGGCCCAGGAGAAAGGAGCAAAACCACUGUAUAACAGUGCCCCCAGCUCCCAGCCCCUCAAGACGGUCCAGAAGGCUGUUAUGGUUGAUGGUAUCAAAAGCCGCUGAGAGAUCCAGCAGAACUAGGAAACAGCUCUCACCUUUGUCCCUAGCCCGCCGGAGAUCAUUGACCAGUGCGACCAAGGGAGUUUCAGUUCCAUGGUGAGGCCUGAAACCUGACUGGGAGGGAUCCAAAUGGUCCGCACACUCCAGGCGUGCUUAGAGUUGUUCAGCAACCACUCGCUCAAUCACCUUGUCCAAGAAUGGAAGAUUUGAGACUGGGCGAUAGUUGGCCAUAUUGGCCGGGUCUAAAGAUGUUUUUUUAAGAAGCGGUUUAAUGACCGCCUCUUUCAGUGGGCCUGGGAAGGCUCCCUCAGAGGGAAGCAUUCACUACCCCCGAAGAAGAAGAAGAAGAGGAAGAGGAGGAGUUUGGACUUGAUAUCCUGCCUUUCACUCCCCUUAAGGAGUCUCAAAGCGGCUAACAAUAUCCUUUCCCUCCCUCCCCCACAACAAACAUUCUGUGAGGUGAGUGAGGCUGAGAGACUUCGGAGAAGUGUGACUAGCCCAAGGUCACCCAGCAGCUGAUUGUGGAGGAGCGGGGAAGCGAACCCGGUCCCCCAGAUUACAAGUCCACCGCUCUUAACCACUACACCAUACUGGAAGAGAUUGAUCAGGCAAGGAACAGGCCAGUAGAUUCCUCACUAUCCCCCACCCCGCUGUCUCCUAGAUCCAGAAGGGGGUUGAAGAGGGAAGGGCAGGGACUGUUUUUGUGAUGGGUGUUUGGAAUAUUUGGUUGGGAUAUCAACUGAAAUAUGUAGCAUGAACCCCAAAAUGUGGGUGCUUUUGACAACAACAACAACAACCGAGCAAUGUUAGCAAUAGUUGGCCACUCUAAGAACAGAUUCCUGGGCUAGAUAGACCUUUGGUCUGAUCUAGAAAGGGUUUUCCUGAGUUUCAUCUUCUACAAAGACUCUUCUUUAAGUAGCUCACGACUUCAUUUCUUAUAAAUCUGUGAUCAAUGGAUUAUUAUUAUUUUUGACAUUGUUGCUGUGAUUAACUGGAGCAUUCAGUCCAAGCAAAGAAGCAUUUGUUAACAUCCUUUGGCAGUUUGACUUUUCUUCAUAUAAUAAAGAAAAAGAUACGCUGCUAUGUUUAUUUAACCUGAACCUUUAAAAAGAAACUAUAUCUACUUAAAGUCCUAAAGUGGGGCUUUAAGUCUAAUCGUUGUCAUUCGCGUAUUCACUCACUGGAGAUAAUUUGGCCAUUUUCAUUCAUUAUUUAUAGUAGAACAAUUGUGUGGGUGGGCGGGGGGCGGGAUGGGACGGGACACAAACACUCAGGAAAAGAGCAAACAUUUGGAAGUAUUUACAGGUCUUCGUGCAGAACUGAAACUACGAAAUAGCAGUGCUCAGAGAAUUGGUUCCAGGUGCAAAUUAAGAACAAAAAGACUAAUAAUUUUAUAAGCAUCAGGGCAUAUAUAUUUCUCCUUUUAGAAUAUAUGUAAACAUUUAAAAUAUAUUCUAUCACUUAUAACCAUUUCAAAACACACAAACAAAAAUAUGAGGUAAAUAUUAAGGGAGGAAAUAUUUAACUCAAAUAUAUAUAUGUGUGUGUGUGUGUGUGUGUGUAUAUAUAUAUAUAUUGCUAAGCAGAUUACUCCAUCAAUGCAAGGAUUUCUGCUUGCCUGAUGCAACAAUAUUCCCUCUCUUCCUUCAAGGCAAGAAAGUUUCUCAUCUCUUCCACCUCAGCAGUCACCUGCACCUCCUACAAACCAUCUCAUGAGUACCAUGUAGUGUUGCCAUGUGUCCUCUUUUUCCUGGGUAGAGUUGUCAUAGCGAUCCAUAGUUAAAAGUAGAAGUCGGCAAAUGUGUCCUCUUUUUUGCUUUUCAAAAUAUGGCAACCCUAAUUAGGACAUAGGGUGCUACCUUAUAUUGAGGCCAUUGAUCCCUCUAGCUCCAUAUUGCCUGCAUUGACUGAAAUUAGCUCUCCUGGGUUUCAGAUGGAGCAUUCCCAGCCCUACCUUGAAGUGAUGGAAAUUGAACCUCUAACCUUCUGCAUGCAAAACAGAUGCUCCACCACUGAGGUAUGGCUUUUACUCAGAUGGAGGCAGAGGGAAGUGAGGUAUGGGAGACGUUCCUUCCAUGUUUUGCCUUAAGUUAACAUCUUAGGAUCUGAGCCAGUAUCUUUAUUGAUAUUUUCUGACAGCUUCCUUCCUUCCUGGUGUAUGCACCGUGUAUGUUAGAAAUUGACCCCAGUGUCUUGCAGUUUUGGCAAGAUCUAUUACUAUUACUGUUACUAUUAUUAUUAUUCUAUUUAUAUCCUGCCACUUAUGGCAAAGCACUUCCAGGUGGACUUGCAGCAUAAAAUAAACACAGAAGAGGUACAUUUAUCUAAUUAUUAUAUUUAUGAGGCACCCCAUAAAAUAAAUUAUCCAGGCAUAAUAAAGAAUAAAAAGAAUAAAAUAUAAAAACAUGCUGCAAUAAAACCAGACUAUAAUACACUGCACACUACACCAAAACCACAAUAAGGUUAAAGACAAGCAGCCUGAAAAACCAAAUACAAAAUCAGCCCCCAAAGAAGCACAUACAGCAGCAUAGAACCAAACUGCCAACCAUGCUGCGGGGUCUUAAAAUCAGAACUGAGAGAAAAGAAAAGUCCUCAUCUGAAAAAGAUCACAAUGUGGGCACCAGGCACGAUUUGCUAGGAAGAACAUGUCACAGCUAGGGGGCUACAACAAAAAAAGCCCUGCCAUCCUCCAAACAGUAGUUAUAAAAAUGUUAAUGUUUUGCAUGUUUCUUCUUCUCCCCCCCCCCAAUAGUUUAAUGUACUUAUAUUUUUAAUGCAAGUUGCUUGGAGACCUUAAGUAACAAGCUAAUAAUAAUAAUAAUAAUAAUAAUAGGAGGGUGCACACUGAAAAGGGUGCCUGUUGAUGACCUGAAGGUAUGCCUAGGUGAAUAUAGGAGGAAGUAUUCUGUUAGGUACUGAGGUCCCAAUCUGUGCAGGGUUGCCAGUAGUGUGGAAGAGAGAAAAGCAGUCGCAACGUGUGACCAAAGGUGCAGACACUCAGCCAAAUUCACUCUUUAAAAUAUCAGAUCAAACAGCAACAACACCACUAUAAAAGGUAAGUGUGGAAAGGUCUGUGGCCUCUGUCCAGGCAGCUCCCGCAAGCACCUGUGUGAUGUGAAGUCGUUGAAGGCAGAGGAAAUCUUUCAAUCCUAUUUAGAGAGUGAAAUUGUUAAGCGUUGACAAUGUGCAUCAUGCAUGCCACCUCACACCUUUCACAGCUGUAUGACAGGCAAACAUGUAAAGUGCUUCUCCAUCAAA
This 7723-nucleotide long non-coding RNA is filed under the name Podarcis lilfordi (Lilford's wall lizard). The record is from RNAcentral. Lineage: Eukaryota; Metazoa; Chordata; Lepidosauria; Squamata; Lacertidae.